Schistocerca cancellata (South American locust) is the source of this 489-nucleotide long non-coding RNA. RefSeq lists it as uncharacterized. Lineage: Eukaryota; Metazoa; Arthropoda; Insecta; Orthoptera; Acrididae. The transcript has 3 exons. The record is from RefSeq and is a predicted model, not a curated record.
GCGAGGAUGUGGUUGCGAGUGCUGUCGCUGUUUCUCGUCCUCCAAGCUGCGGUGUUUGCGAUGGAGCCCCCUGUCAACUCCACCACUCUCAGAAGGGCCCACGGGUGGACGUUCCGGACUGUGUGGCGCAAGGCCAUCGUAUUGCCUGACAGGUGCGAAGACGGGACAACUUACGUCAAUGGAGCCUGUGUGAAGACGGUUCAGCUGAGUCCUAAUUAGAAGAACUGAAGAUACUCAGACUGGAGGGCUGUAUCCUAGUAGGAGUGGGGAACACCCGUCACAAGCGUGUGAUUUGUCGCUGGAUUUAAGAAAAAGGAAUAUGGACACAAAUACUACACAAAAAUGACUUGUGAGACAUUAUAUUACGAACGACAAUAUUUUUGUGAAAUGUAAAAUAAAAUCCUAACUCUCCAUCUCCCGAGAAAGAAGAGAAACAUCACCUACCACAGAGUUGAAUACUCCUAAAAUGCAGAAUCUUCGAUGAAAUGU